RNAcentral lists this long non-coding RNA (437 nucleotides) under Coturnix japonica (Japanese quail). RNAcentral's name for it is "lncRNA (ENSCJPG00005004809.1)". Lineage: Eukaryota; Metazoa; Chordata; Aves; Galliformes; Phasianidae. The record is from RNAcentral.
ACCAGCUAUUGCAAUCACAGGAUACAGCUUUUGUGUUGUGAGACAUGCAGCUCUUGUGGCCUUGAGGAAUUCUCAGCUGUAUGAUGGAUCUGGGGAAGGAGGAACUUCCUUUAGUUUUGUGCUUCUGUUGGCUUCUGUAAACUGUGGAUCAGUGCCGCCAGUAAAUGGGAUAUACCAGCAAGGUGGAUGGGCAUCCAUUUCAGGAAGGAAGAUGGAAGACACAUCUGGAAACUGUGGGUUUUGCAACACUGAAUGUCUUUAAAGCUGUCUGGACUGAAGACUUUGCCUGUUUAAAAUGUUUUGGAAUCCAUCCACUUUGGCUUUUCUCUGGAUUUUUCAUGGCAUUGAAAAAUGCAGUUGGACAUUUAUCCCACUUAUUGGAGCCCUCAAUUUUAUUUCCAUCUGGAAUCACACACCAAUACUUGUGGGGCAAUUAA